Molecule: ribosomal RNA, 497 nt
Filed under: uncultured bacterium
Lineage: Bacteria
Description: partial 16S ribosomal RNA
Rfam family: Bacterial small subunit ribosomal RNA
Source: RNAcentral
GAUGAACGCUGGCGGCGUGCCUAAUACAUGCAAGUCGAGCGAACAGACGCGGAGCUUGCUCCUCUGACGUUAGCGGCGGACGGGUGAGUAACACGUGGAUAACCUACCUAUAAGACUGGGAUAACUUCGGGAAACCGGAGCUAAUACCGUAUAAUAUAUUGAACCGCAUGGUUCAAUAGUGAAAGACGGUUUUGCUGUCACUUAUAGAUGGAUCCGCGCCGCAUUAGCUAGUUGGUAAGGUAACGGCUUACCAAGGCAACGAUGCGUAGCCGACCUGAGAGGGGGGUCGGCCACACUGGAGCUGAGACACGGUCCAGACUCCUACGGGAGGCAGCAGUAGGGAAUCUGCCGCAAUGGGCGAAAGCCUGACGGAGCAACGCCGCGUGAGUGAUGAAGGUCUUCGGAUCGUAAAACUCUGUUAUGAGGGAAGAACAAAUGUGUAAGUAACUAUGCACGUCUUGACGGUACCUAAUCAGAAAGCCACGGCUAACUACGUG